GUGCAGCAGUCGCGAAUCUUCGGCAAUGGGGGAAACCCUGACCGAGCGACGCCGCGUGUGGGAUGAAGGCCCUUGGGUUGUAAACCACUGUCAGAGGGGAUGAAAUGCCGGAAAGUUAUCUCUCCGGUUUGACAUAGCCUCAGAGGAAGCACGGGCUAAGUUCGUGCCAGCAGCCGCGGUAAGACGAACUGUGCAAACGUUAUUCGGAAUCACUGGGCUUGAAGAGUGCGUAGGCGGUUUCGCAAGUAGGGUGUGAAAGCCCCCGGCUCAACCGGGGAAUUGCGUCCUAAACUGCGAGGCUGGAGUGAGGUAGGGGUGUGUGGAACUUCCAGUGGAGCGGUGAAAUGUGUUGAUAUUGGAAGGAACGCCGGUGGCGAAAGCGACACACUGGACCUUGUCUGACGCUGAGGCACGAAAGCCAGGGGAGCAAACGGGAUUAGAUACCCCUGUAGU
This 453-nucleotide ribosomal RNA is filed under the name uncultured organism. RNAcentral's name for it is "bacterial SSU rRNA". It matches the Rfam family "Bacterial small subunit ribosomal RNA", at positions 346 to 794 of the family's 1533-position model. The record is from RNAcentral.